RNAcentral lists this ribosomal RNA (450 nucleotides) under uncultured bacterium. RNAcentral's name for it is "partial 16S ribosomal RNA". It matches the Rfam family "Bacterial small subunit ribosomal RNA", at positions 354 to 796 of the family's 1533-position model. The record is from RNAcentral.
GUGGGGAAUAUUGGACAAUGGGCGCAAGCCUGAUCCAGCAAUGCCGCGUGUGUGAAGAAGGCCUUCGGGUUGUAAAGCACUUUUGUUAGGGAGGAAAGUCUUGUAGCUAAUAACUGCGAGAUAUGACGUUACCUAAAGAAUCAGCACCGGCUAACUCUGUGCCAGCAGCCGCGGUAAUACAGAGGGUGCAAGCGUUAAUCGGAAUUACUGGGCGUAAAGGGUCUGUAGGCGGAUUAUUAAGUCGGAUGUGAAAUCCCCGGGCUCAACCUGGGAACGGCAUUCGAUACUGGUAGUCUAGAGUGUGCAAGAGGAUGGGGGAAUUCCUGGUGUAGCAGUGAAAUGCGUAGAGAUCAGGAGGAACAUCAAUGGCGAAGGCACCUUUCUGGGGCAACACUGACGCUGAGAGACGAAAGCGUGGGGAGCAAACAGGAUUAGAAACCCCGGUAGUCC